UAUAAAUGAAAUAUAUAGUAUAGGGAAGAAGGGGAUUUAUAAAUGAAAUAUAAAAAUACAAUUAUCUGCCAAACAAAAAUAUAAAUAAAUAUUUUUCUUUACUUUUGUAUUCAAGAUCUAUUGUAUUGGAUUCGGGAUUCGAGAUGAUUUGGCUUUGAUUCAUCAUGGAAAACUUUAUGCACUGCUGCGUUCAGACCAAAAAUGAUUUGGUAAUCUCCUUCUAACUACAUGAUUUAAUCAUCCCUUCGAAUCUUCUUUCAUCAUCAAGAUUUAUCUCUUCCACUCUAUCCAAGUUUCCUCUAAGUAUUACCAGAUCCGCAAGGCUGAAUGGCGUACAUAGAAAUCCUCAGCCAUAAUUAACUUAUUAAAUCAAGGGUUAGACUAGUAUCUUCUCACAAAGUCCACUGCAUUUAAACAAAAUGAAUCCCAAAGCUGAAUGGCGAACGUAGAUAUUUUCAACCAUAAUUAACUUACUAAUUCUCACAAAGUCCACGGCAUUCAAACAAAAUGAAAAUGAAUAUAA
Molecule: long non-coding RNA, 523 nt
Filed under: Amborella trichopoda
Lineage: Eukaryota; Viridiplantae; Streptophyta; Magnoliopsida; Amborellales; Amborellaceae
Description: long non-coding RNA (ATRI_LNC002558)
Source: RNAcentral